Molecule: ribosomal RNA, 497 nt
Filed under: uncultured bacterium
Lineage: Bacteria
Description: partial 16S ribosomal RNA
Rfam family: Bacterial small subunit ribosomal RNA
Source: RNAcentral
GAUGAACGCUGGCGGCGUGCCUAAUACAUGCAAGUCGAGCGAACAGACGAGGAGCUUGCUCCUCUGACGUUAGCGGCGGACGGGUGAGUAACACGUGGAUAACCUACCUAUAAGACUGGGAUAACUUCGGGAAACCGGAGCUAAUACCGGAUAAUAUAUUGAACCGCAUGGUUCAAUAGUGAAAGACGGUUUUGCUGUCACUUAUAGCUGGAUCCGCGCCGCAUUAGCUAGUUGGUAAGGUAACGGCUUACCAAGGCGACGAUGCGUAGCCGACCUGAGAGGGUGAUCGGCCACACUGGAACUGAGACACGGUCCAGACUCCUACGGGAGGCAGCAGUGGGGAAUCUUCCGCAAUGGGCGAAAGCCUGACGGAGCAACGCCGCGUGAGUGAUGAAGGUCUUCGGAUCGUAAAACUCUGUUAUUAGGGAAGAACAAAUGUGUAAGUAACUAUGCACGUCUUGACGGUACCUAAUCAGAAAGCCACGGCUAACUACGUG